Molecule: ribosomal RNA, 299 nt
Filed under: uncultured Burkholderiales bacterium
Lineage: Bacteria; Pseudomonadati; Pseudomonadota; Betaproteobacteria; Burkholderiales
Description: partial 16S ribosomal RNA
Rfam family: Bacterial small subunit ribosomal RNA
Source: RNAcentral
UGACGAGUUUGAUCCGGGCUCAGAUUGAACGCUGGCGGAAUGCUUUACACAUGCAAGUCGAACGGUAGAGGGGGCAACCCCUCGAGAGUGGCGAACGGGUGAGUAAUAUAUCGGAACGUGCCCAGUCGUGGGGGAUAACGUAGCGAAAGUUACGCUAAUACCGCAUACGACCCGAGGGUGAAAGCGGGGGACUCGCAAGAGCCUCGCGCGAUUGGAGCGGCCGAUGGCAGAUUAGGUAGUUGGUGGGGUAAACGGCCCACCAAGCCUGCGAUCUGUAGCUGGUCUGAGAGGACGACCAG